This 148-nucleotide small nuclear RNA is filed under the name Daucus carota subsp. sativus. Its description in RNAcentral is "sRNA DCAR_sn00274". It matches the Rfam family "U1 spliceosomal RNA". Rfam says of the family: U1 is a small nuclear RNA (snRNA) component of the spliceosome (involved in pre-mRNA splicing). Its 5' end forms complementary base pairs with the 5' splice junction, thus defining the 5' donor site of an intron. Lineage: Eukaryota; Viridiplantae; Streptophyta; Magnoliopsida; Apiales; Apiaceae. The record is from RNAcentral.
AUACUAGCUUCUAUGGGGUGAAUGGGAGAUCAUGAAUGCUAAUGGUUAGGUUAGUGGCCUCCAUUGCACUUACGAGGAGUGCUCACCUGAGGGAGGAGCCUACAUCAUAGAAUUCUGUGAUAGAGGAUUGCGUUCGCGCAGCUCCUGC